Long non-coding RNA from Mesoplodon densirostris (Blainville's beaked whale), 284 nucleotides. RefSeq lists it as uncharacterized. The record is from RefSeq and is a predicted model, not a curated record. The transcript is spliced from 3 exons. NCBI's taxonomy places the organism in Eukaryota, Metazoa, Chordata, Mammalia, Artiodactyla, Ziphiidae.
GGUUUGUCUGUGGGGAGUCAGGUCCAGGGAGCUAUCAAGAGGCUGGGUCUCUAAUGCGGAUUAUGGUCUUGUAUCCAGUUUCACCAAUCAGCAAUUUCUAGUCUUAAUGGAACCGGACAGGAAUCAGUUUCUCUAAAGAGUCCACGUGGAAACAACCUGGACUGACUGUAGUAGCCUUCCAGAUGAUGCUUCAGAUCAGCGAAGAUGAGAACCACUGUUCUACGUGUGCUGACGAUCAGAAUCCAAGAAGCGUCUGGAGAGUGACAAUAACAUGGGCGGGCAGU